Molecule: ribosomal RNA, 346 nt
Filed under: uncultured bacterium
Lineage: Bacteria
Description: bacterial SSU rRNA
Rfam family: Bacterial small subunit ribosomal RNA
Source: RNAcentral
CUAGCGACUUCAGAGUUUGAUCCUGGCUCAGGAUGAACGCUAGCGGCAGGCUUAACACAUGCAAGUCGAGGGGCAGCAUUGUGAGUAGCAAUACUUACAGAUGGCGACCGGCGCAAGGGUGCGUAACGCGUGAGCAACAUGCCCGUAACAGGGGGAUAAUCCAGGGAAACUUGGUCUAAUACCGCAUAAUAUCAAUUAGAGGCAUCUUUGAUUGAUUAAAAUUUCGAUGGUUACGGAUUGGCUCGCGUGACAUUAGCUAGAUGGAGAGGUAACGGCUCACCAUGGCGACGAUGUCUAGGGGAACUGAGAGGUUUAUCCCCCACACUGGUACUGAGACACGGGCCAG